Molecule: RNase P RNA, 310 nt
Filed under: human gut metagenome
Description: Bacterial RNase P class A
Rfam family: Bacterial RNase P class A
About the family: Ribonuclease P (RNase P) is a ubiquitous endoribonuclease, found in archaea, bacteria and eukarya as well as chloroplasts and mitochondria. Its best characterised activity is the generation of mature 5'-ends of tRNAs by cleaving the 5'-leader elements of precursor-tRNAs.
Source: RNAcentral
GCGGGGGCAUUUAUGCCCGUGAGGAAAGUCCGUGCUGCUCAGGACAGGAUAGCUGAUAACGUCAGCCGAGGGCGACCUUAGAGAUAGUGCAACAGAGAUAUACCGCCGUUUUACAACGGCAAGGGUGGAAAGGCGAGGCAAGAGCUCACCGGAGGUGCGGAGACGCAUCUGCCAUGUAAACCUUAUCCGCAGCAACUCCCGACAGCAGAGCAUUAACGUAGUCCUGCGGCUCUCAGGAGGAGGCUUGAGGCGCAGAGCAAUCUGCGCAGUAGAUAGAUCAUCGUUUAAUACAGAACACGGCUUACGGUUU